UUUGCAGCACAUAUACGCCAUUUGAAACGUAUUCAAAGUAUGUGCAAUGUAUACAUUCUUCUGAAGCACAUUGUGUAAAAACAUGGCGUCCGUAAAAAGUUUUCGCGGUGGUGAUCUAAAUAAGCUGCAUUUGUUCAGCGAUAUUUUGUUUGAAUUGGAAGAGAAUAUUACAGCAAUAAACGAUAACCAGGACGAUAACCGACUGAUGAACUACCCACCUCACUGCCCACAGAGAUGAGAUGAGAAUAAAGACCAAAACGAGUUGCCUCAACAAGCAAUUUUUGGUUCGUCUGCUUCACCCGCUUAUUAUAAUUAUUUUUUUAUCAUACCGCAUAUUGAGGCUGUUGUAAUAUGUCUAUUAAUCUAUACAAUAAACCUUUCUUCUUUAUUUUUGAUCAUUAUUGAAUAUAACAAGGAAAACCAAA
Long non-coding RNA from Aedes aegypti (yellow fever mosquito), 425 nucleotides. RefSeq lists it as uncharacterized. The transcript is spliced from 2 exons. The record is from RefSeq and is a predicted model, not a curated record. Lineage: Eukaryota; Metazoa; Arthropoda; Insecta; Diptera; Culicidae.